UGACGCAGGAAGGUAGCUGUGCCAGGUAGUGGAUUGCCUGGUGUAAGCGUGUAGGGUGACAGGUUGGUAAAUCCGCUUGUUGUGUACCUGAGACGUGAUGCGUAGCCAUUGUGGUGAAGUUAGUGAUCCUAUGCUGCCGAGAAAAGCCUCUAGUGAGUUCUUAUGCGGCCCGUACCCUAAACCGACACAGGUGGUCAGGUAGAGAAUACUAAGGAGUUCGAGAGAACUGUGGUUAAGGAAUUCGGCAAAAUGCCCCCGUAACUUUGGAAGAAGGGGGACCGAUGUUGGUGAGCACUUUUUCGGUGUGAGCUGGUGUUGGUCGCAGAGACCAGAGAGAAGCGACUGUUUACCAAAAACACAGGUCCGUGCGAAGACGUAAGUCGAUGUAUACGGACUGACGCCUGCCCGGUGCUGGAAGGUUAAGAGGACUGGUUAGUGGCCCUUGUGGCUGCGAAGCUGAGAAUUUAAGCCCCAGUAAACGGCGGUGGUAACUAUAACCAUCCUAAGGUAGCGAAAUUCCUUGUCGGGUAAGUUCCGACCUGCACGAAUGGAGUAACGAUUUCCCUACUGUCUCCACCAUGAACUCGGUGAAAUUGCAUUACGAGUAAAGAUGCUCGUUACGCGCAGCAGGACGGAAAGACCCCGGGACCUUUACUAUAGUUUGGUAUUGGUGAUUGGGACGGUUUGUGUAGGAUAGGUGGGAGACGUUGAUGCGGCCACGCUAGUGGUGGUGGAGUCGUUGGUGAAAUACCACUCUGAUUGUUCUGGUUAUCUCACUGUGGACCGUGAUCCGGUUCAAGGACAGUGCCUGAUGGGUAGUUUGACUGGGGCGGUCGCCUCCUAAAGGGUAACGGAGGCGCCCAAAGGUUCCCUCAGCCUGGUUGGUAAUCAGGUGGUGAGUGUAAGUGCACAAGGGGGCUUGACUGUGAGACUGACAGGUCGAGCAGGGACGAAAGUCGGGACUAGUGAUCUGACGGUGGCUUGUGGAUGCGCCGUCACUCAACGGAUAAAAGGUACCCCGGGGAUAACAGGCUGAUCUUGCCCGAGCGCUCAUAGCGACGGCAUGGUUUGGCACCACGAUGUCGGCUCGUCGCAUCCUGGGGCUGGAGU
Molecule: ribosomal RNA, 1110 nt
Filed under: hot springs metagenome
Description: bacterial LSU rRNA
Rfam family: Bacterial large subunit ribosomal RNA
Source: RNAcentral